CUCUCGGAUUGUAACCCCUUUCAGUAGGGACGAAGCGCAAGUGACGGUACCUGCAGAAGAAGCACCGGCUAACUACGUGCCAGCAGCCGCGGUAAUACGUAGGGUGCGAGCGUUGUCCGGAAUUACUGGGCGUAAAGAGCUCGUAGGCGGUUUGUCACGUCGUCUGUGAAAUCCCUCGGCUUAACCGGGGGCGUGCAGGCGAUACGGGCAGACUUGAGUACUACAGGGGAGACUGGAAUUCCUGGUGUAGCGGUGAAAUGCGCAGAUAUCAGGAGGAACACCGGUGGCGAAGGCGGGUCUCUGGGUAGUAACUGACGCUGAGGAGCGAAAGCAUGGGUAGCGAACAGGAUUAGAUACCCUGGUAGUCCAUGCCGUAAACGGUGGGCGCUAGGUGUGGGGUCCUUCCACGGACUCCGUGCCGUAGCUAACGCAUUAAGCGCCCCGCCUGGGGAGUACGGCCGCAAGGCUAAAACUCAAAUGAAUUGACG
Molecule: ribosomal RNA, 488 nt
Filed under: uncultured bacterium
Lineage: Bacteria
Description: bacterial SSU rRNA
Rfam family: Bacterial small subunit ribosomal RNA
Source: RNAcentral